RNAcentral lists this ribosomal RNA (434 nucleotides) under uncultured Clostridium sp. RNAcentral describes it as "partial 16S ribosomal RNA". It matches the Rfam family "Bacterial small subunit ribosomal RNA", at positions 341 to 792 of the family's 1533-position model. The record is from RNAcentral. Lineage: Bacteria; Bacillati; Bacillota; Clostridia; Eubacteriales; Clostridiaceae.
ACGGGAGGCAGCAGUGGGGAAUAUUGCACAAUGGGGGAAACCCUGAUGCAGCAACGCCGCGUGAGCGAAGAAGUAUUUCGGUAUGUAAAGCUCUAUCAGCAGGGAAGAUAAUGACGGUACCUGACUAAGAAGCCCCGGCUAACUACGUGCCAGCAGCCGCGGUAAUACGUAGGGGGCAAGCGUUAUCCGGAUUUACUGGGUGUAAAGGGAGCGUAGGCGGUGAUGUAAGUCAGAAGUGAAAGCCCGGGGCUCAACUCCGGGACUGCUUUUGAAACUGUGUCACUAGAUUGCAGGAGAGGUAAGUGGAAUUCCUAGUGUAGCGGUGAAAUGCGUAGAUAUUAGGAGGAACACCAGUGGCGAAGGCGGCUUACUGGACUGUAAAUGACGCUGAGGCUCGAAAGCGUGGGGAGCAAACAGGAUUAGAUACCCUGGUA